This is an RNA transcript of Haplochromis burtoni (Burton's mouthbrooder), 3192 nucleotides long. RefSeq lists it as uncharacterized. Lineage: Eukaryota; Metazoa; Chordata; Actinopteri; Cichliformes; Cichlidae. The record is from RefSeq and is a predicted model, not a curated record. The transcript has 2 exons.
ACAGAGAUGAACACAAAGACAUGACUGAACGAGUGAGUUAGCUCUCGUUCUUGUAUCGUCUGUGAGUUGGAGCCUUUUAGAGAGACCUUUAGCGGGCUGGAUGAUGUCAGACGUCCUCAUUUAACCACACGGCCUCCUGAUGCAGGUGUAAUCUUUCUUAGGGUAGUUGUGCGGGAACAAAAUGGAUUGCGGACACUCUUGUAUGAAGAAACGAGGAUUGAAAACUGUCAAGUGAAACAUUAGAUUCCAUGUUUCUGCCAGAUUGCCAAGACAGCUUAUGAUUAACUUGGGCCUUGUAAACUCAGACCCACUUUCUGUCUGAGAGAGCGGUGAAACAAAGGUCAGCAGGACAGUGAACGCUGAACUUUUGUGCCUGGAAGCCUAAAUUCUGGAGUAAAGAGGCUGGAAAGUGAUUGGGAAACUUGCUAAACACAACUACAGCAGGUUUAUUCCACCCCACAUUUUAUUCAUCAUGGCAGAGUCAUCGACAGGCUGGUGGAAGCUCACUUUUAUGAGGAGAAAAAAAUCCCAACCAAAGGUUUUGUAUGAAAUCUCUCCAGAAUUUGUGUCCAACUCACCCAGCAGUCAGCAUCGUUCAAGUGCAGCCUCAGGAGCUGCUGCCCAAACAGAAGAUGCCCAGCUGGAAGCCCGACUGGGGAAGAUCGUGGACAAGACGACAGCCAGUAAGGGGCGUCACGUCAAAGUGUCACAUUCUGGGAGGUUUAAGGAGAAGAAAAGAGUGAGAGCCACACUGGCGGAAAACCCAGAGAUGUUUCCUGGGAGUGGCCCUGCCAGGGAUGAGAACCAGAAGACUGAGAAGUGAACAUUACACAGAUGAAGAUUCACAAACAUGUAAAGACUAACGCAGACGCAUUUAUGAGAGAAAAAAAUACAUACCCUGUUCAAACGGUCCAAUCAGUCAACAAGAAGGAAAGGAAAACAACACAAAAUCCAGCCAAGGAUCUCUGGUAGAUCUGUAUCUUGAGGCACUUUCAGUCUGUUUUCAGCUUUGGUGAUUGUCAAACACAUGCUGCUGAUAGUAGGACAAAAGGUGGUUACAGGGAUUUGAACAACUGUUUAGUCUAUUAGUCUAGUCUCUGUUUUUAGUCGAAACCCUGCCUCAUCACCUUAUAAACACCACUGGAUCACCUGGACUACAGUUCAGCUCAGACACACACAUGGACUGUAUCUACACAGCAAUGUGUCUUUAACUCAGGCUCCAAGCAGAAACUGGAUAGAACACGAGCUAUGACAGCAUAAAUGUGUCAUAUAGCAUAUUUAGUUCAAUGCUUUAACAAUCCAGACCCACUGAGUGGUGAUACUAGUAGUGCAAUAAAUAGUUUUUCAAAUUAAUAUCAUUUCAGGUCCCGGUGAUCAAAUAUCCAUGAAAAGUUUUCUCUCUUCUUUCCUUCAUGUGUUGCAUUGAAUGCAUUUAAUUAUAGUUGAACUUUUGCACUAUGAUAAUGGGCACAAAGAAACACUUCAUCAAAUGACUGGUUCAAAUAAGAAUUCCCAGACUGGCUUUAAAGAAUUUCUUUUUCUCUUUUACCACCAUGUUAUAGUUUAUCAGCAGAUAUUUCAGAUUUCAACAAACUAAAACAAUAUGUGGAUAUUAUUUCUUUCCAAUAGAAAUGUGGAACCACAUUGUUUUGUUUCUGUUUUUCAAACAAAAUUAUCAACUUUUUGUUUGUUUGUAUGGUUUUAUUAACAUAAAACAAAACAAAUUCUACUAGAAUCAAAAUGUGGCACCAUUAAAGCACAACAGAACUACUGGGUCAAACAAUGGAACCAGUAAAGUUAGUGGCUACAGGACUGAAAUCCACCAUGGUUUCUUUAAAAAGAAAUGACCCCACACUCUUCAGACUCUUCACACUGAGUUAAAUGCUGGGGAACGUUCACCUCUGAAUUUCCACAACUGACCAUAUCAACCAGAAGUUUGAAGGCAGAUGUUAGAAGUCACUGAUGUUAAUGUCUAUAAAAAUGAAAUGCAGGAACUUGUAAAUUAUGGGGGGUUAACUAGUAAUUAGUAACAAUUUAUGAAGCUUUUUCACUUAAAUUGUUUACCCUUUUCAUAAAGCUCUUUAAGUGAAACCAGCGUACUCUUUCCCAGAUCUAACACUGAGGGAGAAGAUGCAGCCGAGUAGUGAGGAAACAGAAGGAAAAUUUUAAUGUCAUUGGUGCGAUAAGUUGUGGUGAAUAGCUAGCAUGUUGAGCUUCGCUCUCGACCAAUUCUCCAAACUCAUCGGGACAUAUUUCAGGUGUGAUACACAUGUAUGAAUGUUCUAGAAUUGAGAAGAAACGUGACUGUCUGACAGCUUUCUGGACACUGGACACCAUGAGGCAGUUGUGUCCUUGCAAUGAAUUUGAAUAUGUCCUGAUUUUUGUCCAAUGUGUAGCAGUAAAGAAUGCUUGUUUCAUGUUUUCUUUUUUUCUUUGUAGAUCUAUAGAAGUUUAUCUGUUAAGCAAUAUAGUUUGUGUGUGAUUUUUUUUUGUUUUUGUUUCGGGGGGGGGGGGUUGAUAAAGGUCAUUAAGCAGGAGUGUCUAAAUAGUUCCAGUUUAAAUCAUGUUUCUUCAUGUAUUUUACUAAAGCAGCAAACCUGGAGUAAGAACAUUGAGCUUGCUGAACAGACAUUAUUGAGGUGCUCACGGACACCCACACAUUCAUUUCAUCUCAUUUGUUAUCCAACAGAGGAACACAUCCAACUCUGACUCAAGUAUUGCCUUAUCAUUUUAGCUGGAGAAACACGCUUUUCCUAGAAUCGCCCACUAGAGGGUGCCAUUGUUUAACUCAAAAUAGAAUGUCACUGUUCAGCCGCUGCUCAUCGUUGGGGUUUUUUUUUUUCUUCUUUCUAUUGUUCUAUUUCAAGAAAGGCCAGCAACCCUGAAAGGUGCUGUGUCCACAAAAAUAGAAUAAAAAGGAGCUUGCAAUUGACUUAAGAAGCUUGUUUCAGAAAAGUGCUCAUUUCUUUUAUAGCAUCUACACUGCAAACAUCAACUUUUAGUCUGUUUAGUAGUAGUGUUUAGUUUUAACUUUGUGUGAUAUUAAGAUGGUAUCCUUCAGUUCUUUAUUCAGUUCAAUUCUGCAACUGAUUCGACUGUAAUCACCUGAUUUUGGUACUUGGCAUUGCUAUUAUACAUUUGUAAUAUAAAUAAUUGCUAUAUGAAUAAAACCUGCAACUUUUAACCCCCAAA